Molecule: non-coding RNA, 173 nt
Filed under: Pseudomonas citronellolis
Lineage: Bacteria; Pseudomonadati; Pseudomonadota; Gammaproteobacteria; Pseudomonadales; Pseudomonadaceae
Description: 6S / SsrS RNA
Rfam family: 6S / SsrS RNA
About the family: E. coli 6S RNA was the first non coding RNA to be sequenced, but its function was unknown until recently. It consists of 184 nucleotides that fold into an extended hairpin structure with a large single-stranded internal bulge.
Source: RNAcentral
UCCCUGGUGUGUUGGCCAGUCGGUGAUGUCCCUGAGCCGAUAAUCGCAACAACGGAGGUUGCCAGUUGGGCUGGUGUGCAUGUCCGCACGACGGAAAGCCUUAAAGCCUACUGCAACCGCCACCUUGAACUUUCGGGUUCAAGGGCUAACCCGACAGCGGCAUGUCCGGGGAG